RNAcentral lists this ribosomal RNA (571 nucleotides) under Debaryomyces psychrosporus. RNAcentral describes it as "eukaryotic LSU rRNA". It matches the Rfam family "Eukaryotic large subunit ribosomal RNA", at positions 62 to 648 of the family's 3401-position model. The record is from RNAcentral. Lineage: Eukaryota; Fungi; Ascomycota; Pichiomycetes; Serinales; Debaryomycetaceae.
AAACCAACAGGGAUUGCCUUAGUAACGGCGAGUGAAGCGGCAAAAGCUCAAAUUUGAAAUCUGGCGCCUUCGGUGUCCGAGUUGUAAUUUGAAGAAGGUAACUUUGGAAUUGGCUCUUGUCUAUGUUCCUUGGAACAGGACGUCACAGAGGGUGAGAAUCCCGUGCGAUGAGAUGCCCAAUUCUAUGUAAAGUGCUUUCGAAGAGUCGAGUUGUUUGGGAAUGCAGCUCUAAGUGGGUGGUAAAUUCCAUCUAAAGCUAAAUAUUGGCGAGAGACCGAUAGCGAACAAGUACAGUGAUGGAAAGAUGAAAAGAACUUUGAAAAGAGAGUGAAAAAGUACGUGAAAUUGUUGAAAGGGAAGGGCUUGAGAUCAGACUUGGUAUUUUGCGAUCCUUUCCUUUUUGGUUGGGUUCCUCGCAGCUUACUGGGCCAGCAUCGGUUUGGAUGGUAGGAUAAUGACUUUGGAAUGUAUCUCUACUUCGGUGGAGUGUUAUAGCCUUUGUUGAUACUGCCUGUCUAGACCGAGGACUGCGUCUUUUGACUAGGAUGCUGGCAUAAUGAUCUUAAGCCAC